Long non-coding RNA from Physella acuta, 1400 nucleotides. RefSeq lists it as uncharacterized. The record is from RefSeq and is a predicted model, not a curated record. NCBI's taxonomy places the organism in Eukaryota, Metazoa, Mollusca, Gastropoda, Physidae.
ACCCCUCCCUUGAGACAAUCCUGGCUACGCCACUGAGUAUAUGCCAAACACAAUAAAUAUACUUAUACUUCCCUAUUGAAAACAAAUGUAAGUACAUUUUAUUACGAUCCUAUAACUGAGCUGCCUUUAUUGCAUACACCAUGAGAGACCACAUGUACAUAAUCGGUUUUCUUGGAUAAAAUCAUUGUUGUACGUCUUUAUCGGUACAAUCGUUAAUUGUACGUAGGCUAAGCAGUUGUCUAACAAUAAAGUACUUUUUUUUUAAAUAGCGCCCUUUUGUCUAACAACAUCAGAAACAAACAUCUAGCAUGGCGAGACCAUUUGUCUUCCGCCUAGACUUUCUUCGCCACAAUCACAGUAAUCAUUCAUCAUAUUGCCUUGCCAAUUUUAGACACUAAAUACAAUCAUACUAUAUUUCGAUUUUUGAACUUUUCCGAGAUAGUCGGUUUGUGAUCGUGGCCUUCGAUUUACAAGUUAUUUUCGUUGUAUAUUUUACUACCAAUAACCUAACAUCUAAUUAUUAGUACAAGAUAAAGUGUACAGCAUUAUCAGACGCUGGUACAAAAAACAACCUUGAGCUAUAUUCGUGAAAAAAAGAACAUCUGGCUUCGUUUUAUAGUUCGCUACAGAAUAGAAGCCAUUGCAACUAAUAUUUUCCACUCGUCAGCCGUUAAAAAGUAGAGCAAAAAUGACAAAAUAUACCGCUUAUCUUAAAGUACGAAAGUGUCAAGGGAAAUUACGGGCUCUCCUAAGUUUGUUAGCGAAACUAUACUAAGAAGUUUGCUAUAAUCUGUAGUGGUAUUUAGGAAAAACUAUCUUUGCAGCGGAGGUACUUUAAAGAAGGAGGUAAAAUACAAGAGAAGGAAAAUGUGUGGGUUCAAACGUGCUGCCGUUCGGAUGGACAAGACUGUACUUUAAGCGGAGUAUUUUGACCCUCAACCCGGUGAACUCUCGGCUGACCUCUCCUUGUGAACUACAUUUUUGCAACUUUUGCCGAGAAGAAAUUACCUUCGGUACGAGUGAAAGGUCACUACCGCUGCGCCCCCAUCCCCCGUGGCCAGCUGAUACGGCUUGGCGGUGUGGCGAGACCGUUCGCGGGACUGCGAAGCCGCGUCGCUUGAAAAAAAAAGAAAAAAAAAACCCCACUCCAUACUGAACCCGACUUGUUCCAACAGGCUUGGCCUAUUAGCAACUGUGACGCCCAAAGUAAAACUUUUUCUUCACCUGCGUGGCUACUCAUUGGGAUUCCGUGGCCACAGGAAGAGAGAAGAAUUUGCCUGACCAGCCUCUCUCAACAGACCAGCCUCUCUCAACAGACCAGCCUCUCUCAACAGACCAGCCUCUCUCAACAUACCAGCCUCUCUCAACAUAUCAGCCUCUGUCAACAGACCAGCCUCUCA